Molecule: ribosomal RNA, 2888 nt
Filed under: Neisseria gonorrhoeae
Lineage: Bacteria; Pseudomonadati; Pseudomonadota; Betaproteobacteria; Neisseriales; Neisseriaceae
Description: 23S ribosomal RNA
Rfam family: Bacterial large subunit ribosomal RNA
Source: RNAcentral
CAAGUGAAUAAGUGCAUCAGGCGGAUGCCUUGGCGAUGAUAGGCGACGAAGGACGUGUAAGCCUGCGAAAAGCGCGGGGGAGCUGGCAAUAAAGCUAUGAUUCCGCGAUGUCCGAAUGGGGAAACCCACUGCAUUCUGUGCAGUAUCCUAAGUUGAAUACAUAGGCUUAGAGAAGCGAACCCGGAGAACUGAACCAUCUAAGUACCCGGAGGAAAAGAAAUCAACCGAGAUUCCGCAAGUAGUGGCGAGCGAACGCGGAGGAGCCUGUACGUAAUAACUGUCGAGAUAGAAGAACAAGCUGGGAAGCUUGACCAUAGCGGGUGACAGUCCCGUAUUCGAAAUCUCAACAGCGGUACUAAGCGUACGAAAAGUAGGGCGGGACACGUGAAAUCCUGUCUGAAUAUGGGGGGACCAUCCUCCAAGGCUAAAUACUCAUCAUCGACCGAUAGUGAACCAGUACCGUGAGGGAAAGGCGAAAAGAACCCCGGGAGGGGAGUGAAACAGAACCUGAAACCUGAUGCAUACAAACAGUGGGAGCGCCCUAGUGGUGUGACUGCGUACCUUUUGUAUAAUGGGUCAACGACUUACAUUCAGUAGCGAGCUUAACCGGAUAGGGGAGGCGUAGGGAAACCGAGUCUUAAUAGGGCGAUGAGUUGCUGGGUGUAGACCCGAAACCGAGUGAUCUAUCCAUGGCCAGGUUGAAGGUGCCGUAACAGGUACUGGAGGACCGAACCCACGCAUGUUGCAAAAUGCGGGGAUGAGCUGUGGGUAGGGGUGAAAGGCUAAACAAACUCGGAGAUAGCUGGUUCUCCCCGAAAACUAUUUAGGUAGUGCCUCGAGCAAGACACUGAUGGGGGUAAAGCACUGUUAUGGCUAGGGGGUUAUUGCAACUUACCAACCCAUGGCAAACUCAGAAUACCAUCAAGUGGUUCCUCGGGAGACAGACAGCGGGUGCUAACGUCCGUUGUCAAGAGGGAAACAACCCAGACCGCCGGCUAAGGUCCCAAAUGAUAGAUUAAGUGGUAAACGAAGUGGGAAGGCACAGACAGCCAGGAUGUUGGCUUAGAAGCAGCCAUCAUUUAAAGAAAGCGUAAUAGCUCACUGGUCGAGUCGUCCUGCGCGGAAGAUGUAACGGGGCUCAAAUCUAUAACCGAAGCUGCGGAUGCCGGUUUACCGGCAUGGUAGGGGAGCGUUCUGUAGGCUGAUGAAGGUGCAUUGUAAAGUGUGCUGGAGGUAUCAGAAGUGCGAAUGUUGACAUGAGUAGCGAUAAAGCGGGUGAAAAGCCCGCUCGCCGAAAGCCCAAGGUUUCCUACGCAACGUUCAUCGGCGUAGGGUAAGUCGGCCCCUAAGGCGAGGCAGAAAUGCGUAGUCGAUGGGAAACAGGUUAAUAUUCCUGUACUUGAUUCAAAUGCGAUGUGGGGACGGAGAAGGUUAGGUUGGCAAGCUGUUGGAAUAGCUUGUUUAAGCCGGUAGGUGGAAGACUUAGGCAAAUCCGGGUUUUCUUAACACCGAGAAGUGAUGACGAGUGUCUACGGACACGAAGCAACCGAUACCACGCUUCCAGGAAAAGCCACUAAGCUUCAGUUUGAAUCGAACCGUACCGCAAACCGACACAGGUGGGCAGGAUGAGAAUUCUAAGGCGCUUGAGAGAACUCGGGAGAAGGAACUCGGCAAAUUGAUACCGUAACUUCGGGAGAAGGUAUGCCCUCUAAGGUUAAGGACUUGCUCCGUAAGCCCCGGAGGGUCGCAGAGAAUAGGUGGCUGCGACUGUUUAUUAAAAACACAGCACUCUGCCAACACGAAAGUGGACGUAUAGGGUGUGACGCCUGCCCGGUGCCGGAAGGUUAAUUGAAGAUGUGCAAGCAUCGGAUCGAAGCCCCGGUAAACGGCGGCCGUAACUAUAACGGUCCUAAGGUAGCGAAAUUCCUUGUCGGGUAAGUUCCGACCCGCACGAAUGGCGUAACGAUGGCCACACUGUCUCCUCCCGAGACUCAGCGAAGUUGAAGUGGUUGUGAAGAUGCAAUCUACCCGCUGCUAGACGGAAAGACCCCGUGAACCUUUACUGUAGCUUUGCAUUGGACUUUGAAGUCACUUGUGUAGGAUAGGUGGGAGGCUUGGAAGCAGAGACGCCAGUCUCUGUGGAGUCGUCCUUGAAAUACCACCCUGGUGUCUUUGAGGUUCUAACCCAGACCCGUCAUCCGGGUCGGGGACCGUGCAUGGUAGGCAGUUUGACUGGGGCGGUCUCCUCCCAAAGCGUAACGGAGGAGUUCGAAGGUUACCUAGGUCCGGUCGGAAAUCGGACUGAUAGUGCAAUGGCAAAAGGUAGCUUAACUGCGAGACCGACAAGUCGGGCAGGUGCGAAAGCAGGACAUAGUGAUCCGGUGGUUCUGUAUGGAAGGGCCAUCGCUCAACGGAUAAAAGGUACUCCGGGGAUAACAGGCUGAUUCCGCCCAAGAGUUCAUAUCGACGGCGGAGUUUGGCACCUCGAUGUCGGCUCAUCACAUCCUGGGGCUGUAGUCGGUCCCAAGGGUAUGGCUGUUCGCCAUUUAAAGUGGUACGUGAGCUGGGUUUAAAACGUCGUGAGACAGUUUGGUCCCUAUCUGCAGUGGGCGUUGGAAGUUUGACGGGGGCUGCUCCUAGUACGAGAGGACCGGAGUGGACGAACCUCUGGUGUACCGGUUGUAACGCCAGUUGCAUAGCCGGGUAGCUAAGUUCGGAAGAGAUAAGCGCUGAAAGCAUCUAAGCGCGAAACUCGCCUGAAGAUGAGACUUCCCUUGCGGUUUAACCGCACUAAAGGGUCGUUCGAGACCAGGACGUUGAUAGGUGGGGUGUGGAAGCGCGGUAACGCGUGAAGCUAACCCAUACUAAUUGCCCGUGAGGCUUGACUC